RNAcentral lists this transfer RNA (79 nucleotides) under Trichoderma simmonsii. Its description in RNAcentral is "tRNA-Arg". It matches the Rfam family "tRNA". From Rfam's summary of the family: Transfer RNA (tRNA) molecules are approximately 80 nucleotides in length. Their secondary structure includes four short double-helical elements and three loops (D, anti-codon, and T loops). Lineage: Eukaryota; Fungi; Ascomycota; Sordariomycetes; Hypocreales; Hypocreaceae. The record is from RNAcentral.
GGCCGUGUGGCUCAAUGGCAGAGCGUCUGACUACGAUUAGUAAAUCAGGAGGUUGCAGGUUCGACCCCUGUCUCGGUCA